AUGUUUGUUCCUAAAACAGAUAACCAAUCUGAUCUCGAGGGGCCGCAUAGAAACGCUGGGCCGUGGCUGUGCUCCAUUUGCUCGCAGCAAAAUGAUACGAGCUGUAUGUCCUGUGAGGUAUGCGGCGUUCUUCGGGAUUUGUCACUGUAUUUCAAUAACUCCAAUGAACCUGAAGGUGGAGCUAAACGUAGAAACAAGCAUUCUGGUGUAUCUGUACUGGCAAGAUCUCUUUUCGCACCAUCUGGUCCAAAAUCAAAAGCCGUUGUUUUCUCCGAUGGAUUUCGAGGCAACAAAAACGCAACAGGACAUAUGCAAGCUUCCUUGGGUACUCUGCACAAGACAUACAUGACACAUAAGCAGCGCCAUAACAUAGUGCCUUUCAAGUUUGAUAUACCAUCUCCUGAUGACAUGGUCUCUACAGGCUUAAAAUCGUCCAGACAUUUGCGAAAAGCUGUUCCAUCUGUAGAUAUCCCCGGAAAGAUGGUGAUGGGUGAUGAUGAUCUUGUAGUUGAGAAGGAUACAAGUACAGACCCAAGUUCAUCAGUGAAGUUGGAUGAACUUGGUGGAAAUAGUAGCACUGUUGCCGCCAAUACUCAGAACGAAACUCUUAUUUUGGACAAUGAGCUACAACAUUUGAGUUUAGAGAGGAAGCCAAAAAACAGUAAAACCAAGAUUAAGAAGCCAGUUCCUGUUUCACAAUACAAGCCAGAACCGUGGAUGCUACAGGGCGAAGAUCAAGACAUGCCUAGACAACUAAAUCUUGCUAUUGUUGGUCACGUUGAUUCUGGCAAAUCAACAUUAUGUGGUAGGUUGCUGCAUGCCCUGGGUAGAAUUUCAAAAAAGCAAAUGCAUAAGAAUGAGAAAGAAGCGAAAGAAAAGGGAAAAGGGUCGUUUGCAUAUGCUUGGGCAAUGGACGACAGUGCUGAUGAAAGGGCACGUGGCAUUACGAUGAAUGUCGGUGUAGCAUACUUUGACACCAAAAAUUACCAAGUUGUUAUGCUCGACUCCCCUGGUCACAAGGAUUUCGUUCCUAACAUGAUAUCUGGAGUGACGCAAGCUGAUGCAGCUGUCCUAGUUGUUGAUGCCUCUCUUGGAUCAUUCGAGUCAGGCAUGGGCGUUAAUGGGGUUGGUCAGACAAAGGAGCACUCACAGCUUAUUCGAAGCUUUGGUGUCGAGAACUUGAUAGUUGCUGUCAAUAAGAUGGAUUCAGUGGAAUAUUCGGCAGAACGCUUCAAUUAUGUGAAAUCACAACUUGGCAUUUUUCUCCGAUCUUGUGGCUAUAAAGAGUCAGCGAUAACCUGGGUUCCUUUGAGUGCGAUGGAAAAUGAAAAUCUGGUGACAGCAGCUUCAGAUACUCGUCUCUCAUCAUGGUUUCACGGGACUUGCCUUCUGGAAGCAAUUGACUCGUCAGCACCACCUCCUCGUGAUGUUUCAAGGCCACUACGGCUUCCAAUUUGUGAUGUUAUUUCAUCCCAUGUGCUGGGGCAAGUGGCGGUUUGUGGUAAAGUGGUGUGUGGAGCAAUCGGAAGUGAUUCCAAGGUCCUUGUGAUGCCUUCUGGAGAGCUAGCUACAGUGAAAAUCAUCGAGCGGGACUCCUCUCGUCUCAGCUUGGCAAGAGCCGGCGACAACAUUGCGAUUGGACUGCAAGGGAUCGACCCGAUCCAUGUGAUGUCUGGUGGAGUUCUGUGCCAUCCGGAUUACCCCGUGUCGGUGGCGUCUUCCCUGGAGCUGAAGAUCCUGGUGCUAGACAUCACCGUACCUAUACUGCCCGGCCUUCAGUUUGAGCUCCAUGUGCACCACGCGAAGGUGUCGGCGUCCCUGGUGAGAAUCGUGUCACUGCUGGACCAGAAGACUGGCAAAGCCUCAGCGAAGAAGCCGCGGAUGCUCACCGCUAGACAGGCUGCCAUCAUCGAGGUACGUCGCGUUACAUGUGCGCCCUUACAGCAGAUGAGUCUGAAUGAGUGCCUGGUGAUCGUCUGUGGUGCCUGUUUUGUCCAGGUGAAGCUGGAGAGGGAGGUGUGCGUGGAGGAGUUCGCGACCCUCAAGGCCCUGGGCCGGGCGUUCCUGCGGUCGCAGGGGAGCACCGUCGCGGUUGGCGUCGUGCAGGUACAGGGGGAGCGAGCAGAGCAGGCUUCUUAG
Molecule: ribosomal RNA, 2139 nt
Filed under: Triticum aestivum (bread wheat)
Lineage: Eukaryota; Viridiplantae; Streptophyta; Magnoliopsida; Poales; Poaceae
Description: partial small subunit ribosomal RNA
Source: RNAcentral